AGGGGCGGGACCAGACGAGGGGUGACUGCUGCGCGGUGCCGGGGAGGACGCCUUCACCUGUUCACGCGGCAGCGCGGAUUGCGGUUCGUGGCGCGCGCCACCGGGGAAGGAGCGGUGGGCCGAGGGGUGGAGGUGGGGUCCCAGAAGGACCUCGGGCUGUGGACCCGGGGAGCGGAGUCGGGGAGUGGGGGAGCGAGGUGGCGCCCGGGAGCCAGGGAUAUGGCGCGGCCAGACGAUGAGGAGGGGGCGGCGGUGGCGCCCGGACACCCGCUCGCGAAAGGAUACCUUCCGUUGCGGACGGGCGCGCCCGCUGGGAAGGAGAGCGUGGAGCCGCAGAACGGGCCUAAAGCGGGCACCUUCCCGGUGAACGGGGGCCCCCGGGACAGCCUCGCUGCCGCCUCGGGAGUUCUGGGCGGGUCUCAGACUCCUCUGGCUCCAGAAGAGGAGACCCAGGCCCGGCUGCUGCCUGCGGGCGCGGGAGCGGAGACCCCGGGGGCCGAGAGCACCCCGCUGCCCCGGACGGCGCUCUCCCCGCAGCGCUUCGUGGUGCUCCUGAUCUUCAGCCUGUACUCGCUGGUAAACGCCUUUCAGUGGAUCCAGUACAGCAUCAUCAGCAACGUCUUCGGGGGCUUCUACGGUGUCACCUUGCUGCGCAUCGACUGGCUGUCCAUGGUGUACAUGCUGGCCUACGUGCCCCUCAUCUUCCCGGCCACCUGGCUGCUGGACACCGGAGGCCUGCGGCUCACCGCCCUGCUGGGCUCCGGCCUCAACUGCCUGGGUGCCUGGAUCAAGUGCGGCAGUGUGCAGCAGCAUCUCUUCUGGGUCACCAUGUUGGGCCAGUGCCUGUGCUCCGUGGCCCAGGUAUUCAUCCUGGGCUUGCCCUCCCGCAUCGCCUCAGUGUGGUUUGGGCCCAAAGAGGUGUCCACAGCUUGUGCCACCGCCGUGCUGGGCAAUCAGCUUGGAACUGCAGUUGGCUUUUUGCUACCACCAGUUUUAGUACCCAACACACAGAAUGACACAAAUCUCCUGGCUUAUAAUAUCAGCACCAUGUUUUAUGGAACAUCAGCUGUUGCCACACUUUUAUUUAUUUUAACAGCAAUUGCCUUCAAAGAAAAACCUCGGUAUCCACCAAGUCAGGCUCAAGCAGCUCUUCAAGACAGUCCCCCUGAAGAGUACUCCUAUAAGAAAUCAAUAACAAACCUGUUUAAAAACAUUCCUUUUGUCCUUCUGUUGAUCACUUAUGGUAUCAUGACUGGUGCCUUUUAUUCAGUCUCAACAUUAUUAAAUCAAAUGAUAUUGACAUAUUAUGAGGGAGAAGAAGUCAGUGCUGGAAGGAUUGGGCUAACACUAGUAGUAGCUGGAAUGGUGGGCUCUAUUCUUUGUGGCUUAUGGCUGGAUUAUACCAAAACAUACAAACAGACUACUCUGAUAGUUUAUAUUUUGUCUUUUAUUGGAAUGGUUAUCUUUACUUUCACAUUGGACCUCGGAUACAUUAUCAUCGUGUUUGUUACUGGAGGGGUGCUUGGCUUCUUCAUGACUGGUUACCUCCCUUUGGGUUUUGAAUUUGCUGUUGAAAUCACUUACCCUGAAUCUGAAGGUACUUCAUCUGGUCUUCUUAAUGCUUCUGCACAGAUAUUUGGAAUUUUGUUCACAUUGGCUCAAGGAAAGCUCACAUCAGACUAUGAUCCUAAGGCAGGAAACAUUUUUCUCUGUGUCUGGAUGUUUAUAGGCAUCAUUUUAACAGCAUUAAUCAAGUCGGAUCUGCGAAGACACAACAUAAAUAUAGGAAUUACAAAUGUUGAUGUUAAAGCUGUACCAGCUGACAGUCCCACAGACCAAGAAUCAAAAACGGUUAUGUUGUCCACGCAGUCAGAAUCAGCAAUUUGAAGAGAAAGGAAAAGUUACUAUCCUGUAGUAAUUGGGGAAAAUGUGAUCAUCCUUGGAGAGAGAUAUGAGCACCAAGACUGGAAAAUGGAAGCUUAGAAGACUUUUUAAAGUGAUAAUAUGGGGUGUUCAGUCCCCAUAAGAUAUAAUUGUUCAUGCAGUUUAUAUAUUAAAAUAUCCAAUGGAACUAAAUGUACAAUAUAUUCCUAAUUGGCUGCCUUUUCACUGUGCUGACCAACUGUUCAAGCCACUUCAUAUGAGUACAACAUACCAACAUGACACUACUCACCCACAAAGGACAGCAUUGGGAUCAGGCUUUCAGAUGACCUCUACGAUUUUUCCCAUUUAUUGUACUCUUGUUACACAUGCAGUCAAUGGCUACAAAAACUAUUCUGUGUACAGAUUCUACCCAGACUUUGGUAUUAGAAUUAUGUUCUCAUUAAGGAGCCUGGUUAUAGGCUCGUUCUGUCUUGAGUUCUUUUCUGUGCUGCCUUUCUAUCAUGGAUAAAUGCUAACACUGUAUUUUUUUCAUUCCAACUUGAGAUAGUUUUGUACCCAUUGCCUUUUUUUUAUUUUAAACUUGCUUCUUUUUUUUUCCUGAUGUGUAACUUUCUAGUAAGACAAUUUCAUCAUAUAUGUUACUGGCUAUUUCAUGAUUUCUUGUAUCACAUCCUAUAUUUUGCUUUGAAGAUUCCUGAAAUAAGGAAAUCUGUAAUAACUUCAGAUAGUCUACAUGUCUCCAUUUAGUGGAGAUCUCUUGAAUGCUGUUUGAAUUCUGCAGUAUCAUUUUUAUGACCAUUCUCCUUUGAGGAAUACUAUUCCCAGGUACAUGCUCCAUCAGUGUGCCAGGGAGUGGAUUCUUUUCUUCACUGCAGCGUCAUCACACUGUUGGAGUUGUCUGCUCUUUUACAUGCUCAGGUAGGGAAAAUAGGACCAAAUAUAUUUCCACAGUGCCUACCACUGUGUCAUGUUUACAGUGAGAGGUUAAGUACUGUUGAUGUCCUGACUCUGAGCUCAUGGGGAGUAUCUUUAUAGUAAUGACAUUUGAUCAGCCAUAGAAUUUACAUUAUGUUCAUAUGCACCCAAAAAAGCUAGUCAGGUAAUGAAUACCCUUGAAGUGAAUAGCAGUUUUGAUUUAGGCAGUGUGUUAGGCCAUCCUUGCAUUGCUAUAAAGAAAUACUUGGGCCAGGCGUGGUGGCUCACGCGUAUAAUCCCAGCACUUUGGGAGACCGAAGUGGGUGGAUCACCUGAGGUCAGGAGUUCAAGACCAGCCUGGCCAACAUGGUAAAAACCCAUCUCUACUAAAAAAAAAAAGUGA
Rhinopithecus roxellana (golden snub-nosed monkey) is the source of this 3202-nucleotide RNA transcript. It is a transcript of the gene named feline leukemia virus subgroup C cellular receptor 1, with no coding region annotated. The transcript is spliced from 11 exons. NCBI's taxonomy places the organism in Eukaryota, Metazoa, Chordata, Mammalia, Primates, Cercopithecidae. The record is from RefSeq and is a predicted model, not a curated record.